CCUGAGCUGAAGUCGGACGCUUAACUGACUGAGCCACCCAGGUGCCCCAAUAAAUAAAUAAACUUUUAAAACCAUCUGGAAGGACUUUUAAAUUCUUAAAAUUCCCAAUAUACAUUGGCCCUGUUAGGGUUCUUAAGUGUUUAUUUCUUCUUGUAUCACUCCCUAAGGAGAAGCAUUCUCUCAGCUUAUCGAUUGUGUAACUUAUUCACACUAAAACUAGAUUUAGGGUAGGUCUUAGGUUUAAUGUUUUAUAAGGAGGAAUAUUGGUCAUGGUCUUUCCAGACCCUACUUCCAAUAUUUAUCCUUUUGUCAUGGAGUACCUCAUUCCUGUCUCCUAACAUGUCUGCCAAAUUUGGUUACUGUUCUCUGUAUCUCCUCAGAGGCCGAUCUACUCAGGAAAAUCAGAACCAGAGGAGAGAAAGGAAAGGCAGAGAUUUUUGUGAAGUCUGUGCAGUGUUACAUGGCCCUGGCCCAGCUCCUGGUGGAGCAGAACUUCCCAGCCAUUGCUAUCCACUGUGGGACAUCCUGGGAGGAGAGUUUAAAGACCUUUCAUGAUGAAUUCUUGUGGCCACCAACUUAUUUGGCUGAGGCAUGGACAUUGAGCAGGUAAACACUGCCAUCAACUGCCACCUGCCUGAGGAAUCCCACACCUACCUGGAUCAGGAGGCCUGAGCAGGCCAGUUCGCCCAAGGGCUUGGCCAUUACAUUUGUGUCAAAUGAAAACAAUGCCAAGAUCCUCAAUGAGGUGCAGGGUCACAUUGAGGUCAGUCGUAGUGAGCUGCCUGAUGAGAUGGAUAUUUCCUCCUCCUGUGAGUAUUGAUCUCAUGAAACUGGUUCCUCCAAGUCUUCAGAGUCUCCUCAUUCCUCAGUGACUUUGUCUUGAAACAAAGUGCAGGCAGUGGUGCCUGAUGCCUAAUGGGUGCCUGACAAGUUUAUGCCCUGAUCUUGAUGCCAUGUUGGGAUAUUUUGUUUAUUUCUAUGUGGGAUCUCUUUCCUCUUUCGUCCAAUUAAUUUUCUUUUUUGCACCUCAGUCUUUCCCCUGACCCCACACCCCACAUGAACAUCUGCAUGUAUAGGGGUCUGUGUUUCUGCCAGUCUAACUUAUCCUUUCCAUGCCUUAUUGUAACUGUUCUCUGCAGUUGCAGCCAUGGGAGAGGACGCACCCAUUCGAAGAGCCUGAUGGAGGUCUCACACCCACAAACCAUGAGAUCAUGCAUGACCUCAGCUGAAAUCAAGAGUCGGAUGCCCACCCGACUGACCCACCCAGGCACUCCUAGAGUUUCUUCUUCC
Molecule: long non-coding RNA, 1290 nt
Organism: Felis catus (domestic cat)
Lineage: Eukaryota; Metazoa; Chordata; Mammalia; Carnivora; Felidae
Exons: 4
Source: RefSeq, a predicted model, not a curated record